AGAGUUUGAUCCUGGCUCAGAACGAACGCUGGCGGCAUGCCUAACACAUGCAAGUUGAACGAGAAAUCACCUUCGGGUGAGAGUAGAGUGGCGCACGGGUGAGUAACGCGUGGGAACCUGCCAAGCAGUGGGGAAUAACCUUUGGAAACGAAGGCUAAUACCGCAUACGCCCUUACCUUUAUUGGUUUGGGGAAAGAUUUAUCGCUGUUUGAUGGUCCCGCGUCCGAUUAGCUAGUUGGUAAGGUAAUGGCUUACCAAGGCACCGAUCGGUAGCUGGUCUGAGAGGAUGAUCAGCCACACUGGGACUGAGACACGGCCCAGACUCCUACGGGAGGCAGCAGUGGGGAAUAUUGGACAAUGGGCGCAAGCCUGAUCCAGCAAUGCCGCGUGAGUGAAGAAGGCCUUAGGGUUGUAAAACUCUUUCAGUGGUGAUGAUGAUGACAGUAACCACAGAAGAAGCACCGGCUAACUUCGUGCCAGCAGCCGCGGUAAUACGAAGGGUGCUAGCGUUGUUCGGAAUUACUGGGCGUAAAGAGCAUGUAGGCGGAUAGAUUAGUCAGAGGUGAAAGCCCCGAGCUCAACUCGGGAACUGCCUUUGAUACUGUUUAUCUUGAGACCGAGAGAGGGUAGUGGAAUUCCCAGUGUAGAGGUGAAAUUCGUAGAUAUUGGGAAGAACACCAGUGGCGAAGGCGGCUGCCUGGCUCGGUACUGACGCUGAGAUGCGAAAGCGUGGGGAGCAAACAGGAUUAGAUACCCUGGUAGUCCACGCCGUAAACGAUGAGUGCUAGCUGUUGGAACCUUAGGUUUCAGUGGCGCAGCUAACGCAUUAAGCACUCCGCCUGGGGAGUACGGUCGCAAGAUUAAAACUCAAAUGAAUUGACGG
RNAcentral lists this ribosomal RNA (883 nucleotides) under uncultured bacterium. Its description in RNAcentral is "bacterial SSU rRNA". It matches the Rfam family "Bacterial small subunit ribosomal RNA", at positions 8 to 916 of the family's 1533-position model. The record is from RNAcentral.